AAAACAAAGUGUAGCUUUGCCUGCUAUCUCUUACCCAUGUCUUUUGAGUACCUUACGUUUCCUCGGUGGGUUCGCCCACCGAUUGGACAAAUUUAAACCCUUUGCAGUUGAAAUCAGCGUCUGAAAAAAACUUAAUAGUUACAACUUUCAACAACGGAUCUCUUGGUUCUGGCAUCGAUGAAGAACGCAGCGAAAUGCGAUAAGUAGUGUGAAUUGCAGAAUUCAGUGAAUCAUCGAAUCUUUGAACGCACAUUGCGCCCCUUGGUAUUCCAUGGGGCAUGCCUGUUCGAGCGUCAUUUGUACCUUCAAGCUCUGCUUGGUGUUGGGUGUUUGUCUCCUGUAGACUCGCCUCAAAACAAUUGGCAGCCGGCGUAUUGAUUUCGGAGCGCAGUACAUCUCGCGCUUUGCACUCAUAACGACGACAUCCAAAAGUACAUUUUUACACUCUUGACCUCGGAUCAGGUAGGGAUACCCGCUGAACUUAAGCAUAUCAAAAGCCGGGAGGAA
RNAcentral lists this ribosomal RNA (507 nucleotides) under Phoma sp. Rsfb067. RNAcentral's name for it is "eukaryotic LSU rRNA". The stretch from base 143 to 296 matches the Rfam family "5.8S ribosomal RNA". Lineage: Eukaryota; Fungi; Ascomycota; Dothideomycetes; Pleosporales; Didymellaceae. The record is from RNAcentral.